AACGGGUGCGUAACACGUGAACAAUCUACCUUUAAGUGGGGAAUAGCUCGCCGAAAGGCGAAUUAAUACCGCAUGUGGUCGAAGCUCGCAUGAGCUUCGAACUAAAGUCAGGGACCGCAAGGCCUGACGCUUCUAGAGGAGUUCGCGGCCUAUCAGCUAGUUGGCGAGGUAACGGCUCACCAAGGCUAAGACGGGUAGCUGGUCUGAGAGGAUGAUCAGCCACACUGGAACUGAGACACGGUCCAGACACC
This 251-nucleotide ribosomal RNA is filed under the name uncultured bacterium. RNAcentral's name for it is "partial 16S ribosomal RNA". It matches the Rfam family "Bacterial small subunit ribosomal RNA", at positions 101 to 339 of the family's 1533-position model. The record is from RNAcentral.